This 365-nucleotide ribosomal RNA is filed under the name uncultured bacterium. RNAcentral's name for it is "partial 16S ribosomal RNA". It matches the Rfam family "Bacterial small subunit ribosomal RNA", at positions 338 to 698 of the family's 1533-position model. The record is from RNAcentral.
CCUACGGGUGGCAGCAGUGAGGAAUAUUGGUCAAUGGACGCAAGUCUGAACCAGCCAAGUAGCGUGCAGGAUGACGGCCCUCCGGGUUGUAAACUGCUUUUAGUUGGGAAUAAAAGGUGGCUCGUGAGCCCCGUCUUGUAUGUACCAUCAGCAAAAGGACCGCCUAAUUCCGUGCCGGCAGCCGCGGUAAUACGGCAGGUCCGGGCGUUAUCCGGAUUUAUUGGGUUAAAAGGGAGCGUAGGCCGGCUUUUAAGUCAGCUGUGAAAGUCCGCGGCUAAACCGUGGAAUUGCAGUUGAAACUGGAGGCCUUGAGUGCGCACAGGGGUGCAGGAAUUCAUGGUGUGGCGGUGAAAUGCUUAGAUAUC